RNAcentral lists this ribosomal RNA (444 nucleotides) under uncultured crenarchaeote. Its description in RNAcentral is "bacterial SSU rRNA". It matches the Rfam family "Archaeal small subunit ribosomal RNA", at positions 873 to 1315 of the family's 1478-position model. The record is from RNAcentral. Lineage: Archaea; Thermoproteati; Thermoproteota.
GGAGCACCACAACGGGUGGAGCCUGCGGUUUAAUCGGACUCAACGCCGGGAAUCUCACCGGAUAAGACAGCUGAAUGAUAGUCGGGAUGAAGACUCUACUUGACUAGCUGAGAGGAGGUGCAUGGCCGUCGUCAGUUCGUACUGUGAAGCAUCCUGUUUAGUCAGGCAACGAGCGAGACCCACGCCAACAGUUGCCAGCUUGGCCUUCGGGCUGAUGGGGACGACUGUUGGGACCGCCUCUGCUAAAGGGGAGGAAGGACUGGGCAACGGUAGGUCAGCAUGCCCCGAAUUAUCCGGGCUACACGCGGGCUACAAUGGUCAGGACAAUGGGCUCCGACACCGAAAGGUGUAGGUAAUCUCCUAAACCUGUCCGAAGUUCGGAUUGCGGGUUGUAACUCACCCGCAUGAAGCUGGAAUCCGUAGUAAUCGCGUUUCAACAUAGCG